RNAcentral lists this non-coding RNA (84 nucleotides) under Vibrio breoganii. Its description in RNAcentral is "partial 23S ribosomal RNA". It matches the Rfam family "Bacterial large subunit ribosomal RNA", at positions 2842 to 2925 of the family's 2925-position model. The record is from RNAcentral. Lineage: Bacteria; Pseudomonadati; Pseudomonadota; Gammaproteobacteria; Vibrionales; Vibrionaceae. RNAcentral also lists the same sequence under 2 other names.
AGACUAGAACGUUGAUAGGCAGGGUGUGUAAGUGCUGCGAGGCAUUGAGCUAACCUGUACUAAUUGCCCGUGAGGCUUAACCAU